GAACAGACAAAAAAAAAAAAAAAAAACAAUAUGUUUUAACACUUUGAUUCCACCAGCGCUUGAAAUGACGAUUCUCUGUCUCGUUUGGCAAACCCCGCACUGGAUCGAAUCAGAAAAUCCCCAAUCGAUUGGGACGAUGCCUCACCGGAAAGUUUACCAUUAGUAAAUAUACUAGAGACAAGUGCCGAAAAGUGCCGACAAGUGCCAGCAAGUGGGAACAUGAUCCAGGCAGAAUUUGUGAGAUUGAUAAGCCUCACGCAACGAACAGAGAGCGGGAAGAGGAAGAGGAAGAGGAGGAGGAAGAGGAAGAGGGCAAAGCAAGUUCAAUUCAAUGGAAUUGGAAUCAGAAACUUCCAGAUUAAACAACAAAUGGGUUUCAACAGUUGCUAGCGUAUGGAUUCAAUGCACCAGCGGAUCUCUUUACACUUUCUCCAUCUACUCUCAAAUCCUCAAGUCAACUCAGGAAUACGAUCAAUCCACUUUGGAUAUUGUUUCUGUUUUCAAAGACAUCGGUGUCAAUUGUGGCGUCCUUGCGGGCUUUCUCUACUACUAUGCCACCGCUGACGGUAAUCGUUGUGGGCCGUGGAUUGUUCACUUGGCCGGUGCAAUUCAGUGCUUCUUGGGGUACUUCUUUAUCUGGGCGGCCGUUUCUGGGGUCUUUCCUCGGCCGUCGGUUCCCGCUAUGUGCCUUUUCAUGUUGGUGGCUGCUCAUGCUCAGAGCUUCUUCAACACUGCUAACGUUGUCACUGGCGUUCGGAAUUUCCCCAGUUAUAGUGGGACGAUUGUUGGAAUCAUGAAGGGGUUUCUUGGUUUGAGUGGAGCAAUAUUGAUUCAAGUAUACGAGACAAUAUUUAAUGGACAACCAACUUCCUUUCUUUUGAUGCUGGCGCUGCUACCAACUUUUAAUUCCUUAUUGUGUAUGUCGUUCGUGAGAAUCCACCAUGCAGAUGAUGGGAUUGAAAAAGAGCAUCUGAAUACCCUAUCCAUAAUUACUCUGCUCGUUGCUACUUACCUUAUGAUCAAGAUAGUUCUAGAGCAUAUUUUCACCUUCCAAUUCUCUCUACAUGUUGCUACAUUUGUUCUACUUUUGAUGUUGCUUGCAUCUCCUCUAUAUAUUGCAAUUAGAGCCCAACAGAGAGAGUCCAAAAGGAUUUUGCACCCUUGUUUCACUGAGAGCGACCAGCUGAUUGGUUGCUCCAAUCAAGAGACUUUGGAUUUUGACCAUGAACAGAGAAGGGAAUCUGAAGAAAGCCUGAACCUCGUUCAAGCUUUAUACACAAUAGACUUCUGGAUAUUGUUUUUUGCGACUGCUUGUGGCAUGGGAACAGGAUUAGCUACAGUGAAUAAUAUCAGCCAAAUAGGGUUAUCUCUUGGUUACACAAACUUGGAGAUAAAUACUUUGGUUUCCUUGUGGAGCAUUUGGAAUUUUUUUGGUCGUUUUGGAGCUGGGUAUGUGUCGGAUUAUUUUCUGCAUUCCUACGGAUGGGCUAGGCCAUUGUUCAUGUUCAUCACUCUGACAACCAUGAGCAUUGGACAUGUAGUGAUUGCCUCUGGCCUGCCUGGUGCUCUUUUUGCUGGUUCGGUAGUAGUGGGUGUUUGUUACGGGUCUCAGUGGUCACUAAUGCCAACAAUUACUUCUGAAAUAUUUGGUGUUGUACACAUGGGUACUAUAUUCAAUGCCAUAACAGUAGCAAGCCCUGUUGGAUCUUAUUUAUUUUCCGUAAGAGUUGUUGGGUAUAUAUAUGACAAGGAAGCAUCAGGUGAAGGAGAUACUUGUACUGGAACUUACUGCUUCAUGUUAUCAUUUUUUAUUAUGGCUUCUGCCACUCUCCUGGGCUCUUUAGCAGCCCUUGGCUUAUUUUUCUGGAGAAGAAGUUUUUACGAUCAAGUUGUUAUCAGAAGGCUGCAACACCCAUCAAAUGGAUAAAAGAAUAAAUACUACAUGGUAUAUACAAAGGGAGAUGUGGUGGUUUUUCCUGGUUGCUGCUAACAAGGUUACCAAUUCCGAGGCCACCAUCAUGCAAGACUUUAGAGACUUUCUCCCAUUUAACCAAAUGAUUUAUUUUGCUACCCUUCUGACCUUCCCAGAAAAAAUUGUUCAUUAUCCUCUCAAUUUCAGAAAUUAUGUUUCGGAUAUCCACCAUGGGGUAAUCCUAAGUUGUGCAAUGAACAUGACCAAAAUCUAACUCAAUCUCAAUGCUCUAAGUGCGAAAAUUUCAGUCUCAUUCCCUUCUUUCCAAGUCAGAAUCAGCAUCACUAGUGCCUCGUGUUCUUUCAACCUGCAAGCUUAUUAUGCCUAUCAUACUCAUAUGUAAACUCAUCAGCCAAUUAUUUUGGGAACUGAAAUUUGCUUCUAGAGUAUCAUGUUUGUAGAAUUUUUGUUGUUACGUAUACAUGGUUGUAGUACGAGAAGACUACAGAUUUUUUGUGUCUGAGCCAAUAUAUUUGUAAGUCAGUUCUCUUUAACAUAAUAGUUCUUAAAGUGAGAGGAUUUGAUUUAAAAUAUUACCUUUAUGAUUAUAAUGUAUUAAUGUCUUUCUUCCGUAUUUCUAAGUUUCUUUACUCAUGUUAACCUUUGAGUUGCAAUAAAGAGGUUAACCUUGAGUUCCUUUGAAUUCUAGUGUUGCUUAGUAACUUUUGGAUCACAAAAAGGGUAUUUGGAUUUGAAUGAAAUGGGAGUUUGACCUCGAUACAAAAUAUCCUAGUUUGAAUCAAUGGAUGUGUCUGAUUAUUCAUGUGAAAAUGUUUCUCCUUUCUUGUUUUUUGUUUGUUUUUUUUUAAAUUUAUUUUAUUUUCACUUUUCCUCUUUUGGUUUUUGGAAAAGUUUGUUACCGUCACUCGGUAUAUGCUAAUUCUUUCCUAUGUCAUUUUGGAAAAAUGAGAAUUGGAACUGAGAAAUCUAAUUUUAAUCAAAUAAUGGUUUAUAAGCUCAAUUUUUAUCCAAUUUUCAACCAGCUAAAGCUAUCCUAAACUCAUAACAAAAUGGAUUUUGAGGAAUAUCUCGGAGGUUGAAAAUUUUCUUCAGUUUCUCUUCUCAAGGAAAUAACUGAAUACGAAUGAGAGAGUGCAAUCAAAAUACUAAAGUGUAUCAUUUUCUCUUAAUUGGUACACUGUUCGAAAAGACCAUGAGGAAGAAACUGAUCAUCUCCUCCUUCCACGCAAAUCCUCUAACUCUCUAGGGGACGACAUCCUUAACAAAUUUAGCAUCACCUAGAGCACCCCAUUCUUGGUAAGAGAUUUUAUGGACAAAGCUUGUUAGGUCACUACCUCAAAAGCAGAGCAAGAAUUCUUUGGAACUGGGAAGAAUUCCAUCAUAUUGGACCUUUGAAAUUUCUUGAAAGAAUAAUGUUUUAAAGGGCUAAAGGCGGCCUUGAGACUUUUCCUCCUAAAGAAUUGAGGCAUAAGCUUGAAGGUGGUAUGGUACAUAAGCCUUACAUAGUGAAUUAAAAACGUCUUACAAAUCCUAAAUGGGUAUUGACCAAGUAUGGCUCAACAUGAUAGUCAUAGACUCAUAUAAAUGCGUGAAAAAAAUCCCACCCCACAAUUUUCACUUAAUAAAAAAAAAAAAUUCUUAAGAGGAUAUCUUUAUCAUCACUACCACUACUAUUAUCAUUAAAAGGAUUGAUUUAUGUUAUAAAAUUUUGCCUUGAAUGUUCUAAAUGUCACAGUGUUAAAAGUAGUCUUAGUUCAAAUGGAGUAUUUUUGAAGAAUUUGGAAAAUCUGCAUUAUUCUUCUAAUCAGUAGACAGUGCGUAGAGAUUUUAAGCCUCAGUGCGUUUUCACAAAGACGUAAGGCUCUUAUAGUUCAAUGAAAACGUAAGUCUAGAGAUUAAAGCCUAAAACUUAGAGCCUUGCCUCGAGCAAGCCUCAAGGAGUAAGCCUCAAUAGCUUUUUAAUACAUUGGGAAACAACGAGUUUUCAAAUAUGUCUACAAGGGGGAUACUCAAGAUUUUGAGAUGGUUGUUUCUAAUAACAGUUCCAAUUGGAGUGCUGACGUAAAGCUUUUGUAACUACACUGCACCCUUGUAUAAUUUGGAGUUCUUUUUGUAAUCACCAGUCCCUCAAGUAGCUACCCAUUGUCUGGAUUUUGGGGACACUUCUUUUCAUUGUACUUAAUGAAAAAAUCUUUUUAUUAUUCCAGAAAAGGUCAAGAUUCCGCUUCUAGUUUUAAAACUGAACACAUCUCAAAACUUUGCCUUUAUUGGCUUUCAGGAAAUGGAGUCACUGUUCCUCUCAUGCCGGCAUGUGGGUCAUAAUUGAAUUUAAGAUUAAAUAUGGUUAUACAGGGUUUCUAUAAGAAUUGCAAACAAUGGAAAGUUUUGCUAGUAUUCCUAAUUUUCAUAUGCAUGCCGUGGAGCAAUGAGUUUACUUAAACACCAAUUGUGAGUAUUAUUGGUUCAUAUAUAUAUGCAUGCAUGUAUGUAUGUAUAUGGUAUUAUUGGUUCUUUUUUUUUUUCUUAAAGAAAAAUAUUGGUUUAGCUACUCUAAGCAUAUAUAUGUUGCCUCUUGCCUUCCUGCAUCAGAAUCCCUCUCUGAAGUUUGAUUUUCACGUUACUUCUCUCCUUGUCAGGGGCAUAAUGAAUUUUUUUCUUUGUUUUAUGUAGUUUAUUUUUUAUUCGUCAAAAUCGCCUAGAUCACCUUUAGGGGUUUAUUUCAUGUUAGAUGAUCACAUGUCUCUCUCUUCCCUUCCCUUCUCCCCGAAGAAACAGAAAAUUAUCCUGUGUUAAAGUAAAUUAGGGUUUUAUUCCUAAUUAGUAUUUUCCUUUAUAGUUUUUCCGUUCUUGGUUUCUUUCCUUUGUUGGGUUUGUUGGUGUCUAUUUAUUCGCCUUUGUGCUGUAUUCUGAUUAAGUUGAUUAUUCAAUAAUAUAUACAAAAAUAACAUGGUAUUAGAGCUUUAAGUCCUAGGGUUUAUAUUUUCAGCCUCUAGUUCUGUCCAAUCUCUACCUCCAUUGAUCCCCCCUCGACAGAGGUAGAUCUAGAUUUGGUUCACCUGCUUGGUUGAUUCUACGUUCUUGUUUUUCAGUUCUAACCUCUGUUAUGUUUUUUGAUCUUCCUAGGUCUCUGUUCCGUUUUCAAAUCGGUUGUUCGUGGGUUCUAUUUUCAUAUCUUUAUGUAGAUCUCUGUUUUUAGAUAAGAAGUUUGUGGGUUCUGUUUUUAGAUCUUUAUGUAGGCAUCUGUUUCCAACCUAGAAGUUCGUGAGUCUCUGUUUCCAGUCCAGAAGUUCUCCGUGUUUUAGUUCUUUGUGGCUUAUGUUUUCAGCCUAGAAGUUCUCUGUGUUUUAAUUUUUCGUGGGUUCUAUCUCCGGCCCAUAUCUGCCAUGAUUUGAUUCAGGAGUUUUCUUCAGUUUUCAUCAUCUGCUUUAGUCGACCGCCUCACAAACUCUUGUUGGUUGUUACUCUACUACCUUGAGUUUGAGUGAGGGUGUUAAAGUAAAUUAGAGGUUUAUUCCUAAUUAAGUUGAUUAUUUAAUAAUAUAUACAAAAUUAACACCCUGCACAGAUUAACACUGGACUGGUUUAUCUAGUAUAACCAAUUCUUUGGUUUUGACGGACCUCUACGUGCUUUGAAAUUGAAUUAAACCUCAAUAUGUAUCAUUUGUGCUGGUCUAAAUAAAAAUAAAAGGAAAAAGGUGAGGGAUGGGGAUUCUGAAGAAGGAUCCAGUAAUUGGAAAUGUUGAGCAAUUCAUGAUUGUGUUUGAUUCUAGGGAGAUUCCCAAUUCCAAAAUGAUUAGUGGUCCGUUUCUGGAAGCUGGAUAGAGUUCAGGUGUGUAUAUUCUUGGUAUACUUCAAGGUAUCUUUGUUUAUCUUUGAGAUUUCCAAGAAUUUCAAUUUGCUUCCACCUGUUUGGCUCCCUUGUAUAGUUUGCCAUUUCUGACUGAGAAGAGGUGGUUGACUAUUGUUCAUUUGUUCUGUUGGUAAACUUAUGGAAUAAUGCGUUAGAUUCUAUGGAUUUUUGUUUUGGUAUUCUGAAAUGUCAAUUACUUUAGUGCAGGAUAACGUUGUCCUUGACUCUUCUUCAGAUAUAACUAUAGCUCAUAAGAACAUAGCUUUUAAGAAGUUUGAGAAUAUUCUAAAUUUAUAGAAGCAAUCAAGGACAUGAAGGUUUGAUUAUAUAUCCUUCUUAGGCAUCUCGGUCUUGUUCUUGAGGUUUGCUAAAGUUGCAUUUUUACGCUAAUCUGGUUGCCUCCUGAAACUCUAUAUUUUAGUUUGUCAUUUCUUGAGAAAGAUGUGGUUAAGCUGUUGAUCCUCUGGUAAACUUAUGGAAUGAUUUUUUUCUAUGGAUUUCUGUUUUGAGAUUCUUGCAGGAUGAUUUAUUGUAUAUUUUCUCGUCAUUCUAUCUUUCUGUUCCCAAGUCUUGUACCCAAUUUAUAAGUUUAAAAGAAUAGGAAAGAAGUUGUCUGUGUCUAAUAGAUGCUAUCUUAUGUCAAAUUUUCACAUCUACCGUUCUUUUAUUUAUUUGUGGCAGUGUAGCUGUGAACAUUAAUACCUGUGCAAAAUUCAUAAUGAAUUUAUAUUCAAGUUUUUUCCUACAUAUCACAAAUUCGUAAUGAAUUUAUAUUCAAUUGCCUUGCUACCUAUCACGGUGGCUAGGCAUGCAUAAUUAUGCUUUAGGCCUAUCAUUCUUACUCGACUUUCUAAAUCAAGCAGGUAGUUCAAUUCUUUUGUGAAAGCUUUCGCUGUUGGGACUCACAUUUGAGCACAUCUUUGACACUUUGAUCAGUCCCAUGUAAGGCAGCUUCAUUCAGGAAUGUGCCUAGUUGUACAAAUACCACGUGAUCUUUUUCCAUCUAGUUUUUAUACAUGAACUCCCUCAUUAGUUCUCCAAAGACCUGGCGAGCUUUUUCUAUCUAUUUUUUUCCAUUAGUUUCUUCUCCCUCUUGUAAGUUUCUUUUCCCCAUUUGUUUUGUCAGCGAGUGUCGUUCUUUGUUCUUUGUUCUUCAUUAGGUUUGUUUAUUUAGCAACUUUAUAUAUAAGAAAGUUUAUAGCCGGUAUUGUUUAUAUGCUUAAAAGCUACUUUGUACCGAAUACUACUUGACAUUUUGUAAUAUAUAUUGCAUUUCAAAUCUCACAUGAGCAUAGCCUAGCUGCCUGUGUGCUUUGCACCUUAAAACACGACGUAUAGAAUAUUUUCUUGAAUGAAAUUCUUUUAACACUACCGAACCAUUUAACCAAUUAUGUUCCCACCUUUUGGAUGAAGUCAUUGUAGUUGAAUCUCCAGUUCCACGUUCCAGCUCUGAUUUUUUAGGUCCCGGCAUCCAACCAAGCUAGAGGACUCCUAUUUUGAGAGCAAAAUCAUAAUUCUAUGCCAAUAUCUGCAGAACCUGUUGUGUCCGUCCUACAACAGAUGCUGUUGUGAAGCAAGAAUCAGCCAGAAUGGAUGACUCUAACCUGGCUUUGUGGAGGACAUGAAAGCCCCUAGUUCACUUGAUAGAGAACAGAGUUCAGGGUUGGCCAAGUGCAAGAGAAAGGAGGUUCAUACUUUCAACGCACAAACUGAAAUGUAUACGGGGAUAUUCUUCUGGGAUUCUAGCCAAAAUCUCACAUCAUCCAGGUUGUUCAUGUCACUUUGCUUUUGUAGUUGGAAGCCCUUUACCUUUACCAUUUAUUCGUUGAAUUGAAAAGAAGAAAAGAAGCUGCUAAGCUAUAGCUGUAGUAAUCUGAGGGGAAGGAAUGGAUCUCUGCAGAUCUUGUUCGUUACUCGGUUGCCGCUUCCUCCCUUCUCCCUCAAUCUGAUUUACUGUCCAGUGUAAACUGUUGGCUAUUGUAUUGCCUGAUGGUGUGAAGAAUCUGACAUACAUAAUUUGGCAUCAGAAAGUAUGUUUAUAAUGCAUAGGAAUCUGAAUUCUGCACCAGGUAAUGGGUAAAGAAAGUAACAAUUUACAAAA
Molecule: non-coding RNA, 7884 nt
Organism: Benincasa hispida (wax gourd)
Lineage: Eukaryota; Viridiplantae; Streptophyta; Magnoliopsida; Cucurbitales; Cucurbitaceae
Source: RefSeq, a predicted model, not a curated record